CACACAGAGACAGAGAGAGAGCAAGAAGCAGCCACCUAAUGCCGUCGGGGUUGAAGAUGUUGAAGAACAUGAGAAGCGUCUAUGUAGCGCUGCUCCUUACUCUGACCUCGCUGCACGCUGCACGGAGAAGUCUGAACUCCAUCAAUGACCUGAUCACCUGCCUCCAGUCUGAGCAGACAAACAUUUUAGAGCUGCUCCACUGGUUUGCUUGUGAAGUUGAAAUUGAUCGCAAUAAUGUCAUCCGACUGACCUUUGAUCCAAGCUCUGGUGAUUAUGGCUCCCAUCGCUACAGGAAUCUGGAGGGAUUGCUUGAAUCUCUCCCUUGGUGCUACCAGUACUACACGAUUGGCAAUAUUCAUCAACCCACAUCAGCAACACUUCCAUCAUAUGUAGUAAAUUCCCCGAGGAGGAAUAUUUUGUGGAACAGCGCUCGAAUCCUAAUUGGAGUGAAUGAAGGGGGGGCUGAAGCUGGAGAGAUAAUAGACCAAGUCUACAUCACUCAGCAUUAUGACGCAUCUGAAAACCAGGGGUCAAGCUAUGAUCCAGAACACACAUACAGGAUCACCACCAACUUUUUGAGGCAACUUAAGAAGUUAUCAAUUAAUGAAAUUCAGCAUCUUGCUCAAAGUUCCCAAACUGGAUCCUUGACAAACACCUCAGCGGCUCACUCUCAGAAAGUUCACUACCCUGAACAAGACACCCACAUAGAUAUGAGGAUAGUUGAUUCCUCAACUGGCCCAGAUGACUGUAUAGAAAAAUGUAUGUCCAUCUUUUGUUGCGUUUUAUUUCUUUUAAUUAUUUUGGUUGUCUUUGGGUCUUACUUUGUUAAUUCCUGGAAAUAAUGUGGAAAAAAGUGGAAAUGAGGAACCUGUCACAAUAUUUCAAACAAUACAAAUAAGUGGUGCUUUUCAACGAUAAUAGUGACAAAGGUUGUUUUUUAAUCCCAUUUUUUGACAUUUGAUAAUACAUAUUUGACAUUUAAAAACAAAUGUGAGUCAAUUGUACAAAAUGGAUUUUACUGUACACAUGAAAGCACAUCUCUGCCUUACAUCAUGCAAUAAUGUGUAUUCAGACAAUACAGACAGUGGUGUAUUAUCAUUGGUUUAACAAAGACAGGAUAUUUAAAUUUAAAUCAGCAAUAUAUGUCUUUGACAUUCAUCAUUUAUCCUUUUGUAGUACUGAAAUUAAAUUAAUAUUUUAUACUUCAUUAGUUGAGUAGGUAUUUUUAUGAAGCCCAAUGUCAAUUAAAUUAAGACACACUAUGGUGAGAAACCUAAUGUCUGUGUUAGCAUUGCAUGCUUUGCAUAAAAAACACCUUGAACCUACACAUAAAUGAUAAUAUUCCAGUCA
Fundulus heteroclitus (mummichog) is the source of this 1350-nucleotide long non-coding RNA. RefSeq lists it as uncharacterized. Lineage: Eukaryota; Metazoa; Chordata; Actinopteri; Cyprinodontiformes; Fundulidae. The record is from RefSeq and is a predicted model, not a curated record. The transcript is spliced from 2 exons.